Long non-coding RNA from Dermacentor albipictus, 547 nucleotides. RefSeq lists it as uncharacterized. Lineage: Eukaryota; Metazoa; Arthropoda; Arachnida; Ixodida; Ixodidae. The record is from RefSeq and is a predicted model, not a curated record.
CCAUGAAAACAGCUGAUCGGUUCUGUGGGCCGCACUUGGUGUAUUUUUUGCCUCUAACGCUGCCCGAUUCGAUAAAAUCUCGGAGUCCGGGAUGUACUUUCGCGCGAGAAGAAUUUUGGAAGCUGUGAACAUCAUGGAGACUGUGAAAGCCUAGUGCUCGGAUACGCAAGAAUCGAUGAAGGUUGGAAGGCAGUACAUCUGAACAGAUAGCUGGAAAACGGGAGCCGGGAAGCUGGGCGGCCUGGAGGGCCGCGUGCUUCAAGUCCUUGGAAGGACCCACCCAGCCUCCGCUCCGGUAGAUUUUUUUCUUCGACGACGCCGCGGACAGCUCCAGUGACGAGGAACGUCCUGCUGUUCCCGUGCCCCCUGCCUCGCCAGCAGCUGCCCACGUGUCCAUUGGCACCGAGCCAGGCACAAGUGGCAUUGCGUGACCAUCAACUCGGCAGCAGCCCCGCAGGCCACCUCAGCAACAAUCACUUGAAGAUGCGGCCUGCAGGGCAGCUGACGAGUAUGCGCGGCAGGGGCAGCUGGCCGAGGCUGCUAACGC